UCCGGCUAGAUAGACGAACGCCGAGAAGCUGUGGCGCAUGCGCAAUACCGGGGUUUCCUUGGCCGCCCACCCUGAGCCGAGCGGUGGAGUUGGGGAUAAACAGGCAGUGGCUGGGGAGGUGAGGGAGGGGGGGCAUUCGCUUUUGGGGGCACCUCAGGUGCCUAGGUUUUCCUUUAGGUUUGUUCUAUCCGAGACGCGGGACUCCCGGGGCCCGGCUCAAGUGUUCCUGUCUGGUAAGAGAAGGUAGCUUUGGCGGAGAGCAGUUCAAGUUGCUAGGAAGGUGCGAGACUGCAGCUCUCCCCCAUGCCGGGCAAGUGGUGCGGUCCUGAGCUUGUCCUGGAGCCUGAACAACGCCUGUGAGAAGCCCGCCGAACGCGGGUUCUGUGAAGAGACGUGGGGAAGAUUCGAUUCCGAGAAAAGGAAAAGCCGGAUUGAAAGGGAGCGAAGCCGCUGAGGGGGAGGGGGCUGCCAAGAUGGCGUCCGCCUCCUCAGGGCCAGCGGCGGCCGGGUUUUCAUCCCUUGAUGCCGGGGCCCCUGCUGGUACCGCAGGUCUCAGCUGUCUGUGCUGUGGGGUCCACCGUAAGAGAGCAGCAGCAUCUGGAAUCAAGAGAGCCACAGUAUCUGAGGGACCUUCCGCCUCUGUCAUGCCUGUUAAAAAAAUAGGCCAUCGAAGUGUUGAUUCCUCUGGAGAGACUACAUACAAGAAGACAACUUCAUCAGCCUUGAAAGGUGCCAUCCAGUUAGGCAUCACUCACACUGUGGGCAGCCUGAGCACCAAACCAGAGCGUGAUGUCCUCAUGCAAGACUUCUACGUGGUGGAGAGCAUCUUUUUCCCCAGUGAAGGCAGCAACCUGACACCGGCUCACCAUUACAAUGACUUUCGAUUCAAGACCUAUGCGCCUGUUGCCUUCCGUUACUUCAGAGAGCUCUUUGGCAUCCGGCCUGAUGAUUACUUGUACUCCCUUUGCAGUGAGCCAUUGAUUGAACUCUCCAAUUCUGGAGCUAGUGGUUCCCUCUUCUAUGUGUCCAGUGAUGAUGAAUUCAUCAUUAAGACCGUCCAGCAUAAAGAAGCAGAAUUUCUGCAGAAGUUGCUUCCAGGAUACUACAUGAAUCUUAACCAAAACCCUCGUACUUUGCUGCCCAAAUUUUAUGGAUUGUACUGUGUGCAAGCAGGCGGCAAGAACAUACGAAUUGUGGUGAUGAACAAUCUCUUGCCUCGGUCAGUCAAAAUGCAUAUGAAAUAUGACCUGAAGGGUUCAACUUACAAGCGGCGGGCUUCUCAGAAAGAACGAGAGAAAACUCUCCCCACCUUUAAAGACCUGGACUUCCUACAAGAUAUCCCUGACGGCCUAUUUUUGGAUGCUGACAUGUACAGUGCUCUGUGUAAGACUCUACAGCGUGACUGUUUGGUGCUGCAGAGCUUCAAGAUAAUGGACUACAGCCUGUUGAUGUCCAUCCACAACAUGGACCAUGCACAGAGGGAGCCCACGAGCAAUGACACACAGUACUCGGCUGACACGCGCAGACCAGCCCCACAGAAGGCGCUCUAUUCCACAGCUAUGGAAUCCAUCCAGGGCGAGGCUCGACGGGGCGGCACUGUGGAGACUGAGGACCACAUGGGUGGCAUCCCUGCCCGGAAUAACAAAGGAGAAAGGCUCCUGCUUUAUAUUGGCAUCAUUGAUAUUCUUCAGUCCUACAGGUUUGUUAAGAAGUUGGAGCACUCUUGGAAAGCACUGGUCCAUGAUGGGGAUACGGUGUCAGUGCAUCGUCCAGGCUUCUAUGCUGAGCGGUUCCAGCGUUUCAUGUGCAACACAGUGUUCAAGAAGAUUCCCUGUAAGUGGCUUCUACCAGAUGAUCCCCCAGUGGCUCCCUUCCCCCAAGACAUGGGGGGCAAGACACCUCUGUCAGGGAGCUGCCAAGGCCAGAGGCCUCUCCUGCUCUGCCUACAUCCUGUGAGCGCUGCUUCUCGUCCUUGUGUCAGUCACUGUCUGUCCCAGUGUUUCCGCGUUGCUGCUCCCCCCUGGCUCUCCCUACAUGUAUCGUCGAGUGAAGCCUUCUCCUACCAAAAAGUUUCGGUCUGGCCCGUCUUUCUCUCGGCGAUCAGGCCCCAGCGGCAACUCCUGCACCUCCCAGCUGAUGGCCUCUGGGGAACACAGAGCACAAGUGACCACCAAGGCGGAAGUGGAGCCAGAUGUACACCUUGGGCGUCCUGAUGUCUUACCUCAGACUCCACCUUUGGAGGAAAUAAGUGAGGGUUCACCUGUUCCUGGCCCCAGUUUCUCACCUGUAGUUGGACAACCUUUGCAAAUACUAAAUUUGAGUUCAACCUUGGAAAAGCUUGAUGUUGCAGAGUCAGAGUUCACCCACUGAGCAGUGAGCCUCAGAAGACCUGAAACAAGACUCUGCUGUCGCUUUGAUCCCAAGAUGUCAGCCCUUGCCCCAGGAAUGCUGAAUCGUCUUCUUGGUCAUCAACAGAGGAGAGAAUGUGGAGCUAGCAGGGCUCUGACACUGUCUCCCCUUCCUCUGGGCAGUAGUGCCUUUGACAGUUGAGGACAGCAUCGUCCCCACCACUCCAGAAGUGGGUGGCGUGAAUUUUCCACUGCCUGCCAUGGCUUCUAUAGCUGAAUAUUUUUCAAACCCCCAUUCUUUGUGCUGACAUGGGGUUGCUGGACUGGUGGUUUCCUCCUGUUUACCUUUCUCCUGGAGCUGGACUCUUCAUUUCCUCAGGACGGACUGGCUGGACAUUGUUCCUGCCUUGGCUCUCCCGCUGGUCUUUGGAGACUCCCAAUGAUUUGUAUAAAGGUGUUUGGGGGAAAGUAAGGAUCAUCCUUACUCCCAACCUUCUUUUCCUUAAAAAAGGAAAAAAAAAAAAAAAAAAAACACAAAGAGCACACAAUGUAAAUUUGAGCCAGUCUCAGAUAAAAGUUCUCUAAGUGUUGUAGAAGAGCCCUAGUGUUUGUGAAGCAGAAAGGCUGGGGCUGCCCCACCAGCAGCUGCUCUCUGACUCCCUCACUUAGGGUUGAGGGAAUAGAGAGGGCCUGGCCCUUUUUUAAGACAAAGGGGCAGCCAUGUUAGGAGAGUGGACCUUAGCAGGACCCUACUCACUGCCAGGUCUUCGGUUAUUACUAUUCUGCAAUUUGGAAUGUAUCCUCAUAGUUUUUUCUAGAUAUAAAGAAUUAUCAAAUGAUUUUAGACCAUUCUCCAAAGGAGAUUUCUUUGUUCUUCCUAUAUUUUCCAACAGUAUUCUGCUCUUUGUGGAGCUACGGUGGAGGGAGAUGUUUGUGUCUGUUUAACAGGCAGUCUGUAUCUAUGAGGCUAGAGAAUAUUUUCUUAAACUCCUAGGGAGCCACAGACUUCCCUCUGUACGGUUGUCGCCAUGUCACCUGGCCUGCCCUUACUCUGCAGAGAAGCUGGAAAUGGGGCCACGGAGCCCUCUCCUUCCUCUCAGUUGUGGCCCAUCUGGUCCUGGCUGGUGGGGCAGUGCAUGGUGUUUCAGGCUGGCUGUUGAAAUCCCACAUUAGUUCCUUCCCUGUCCCGUCCCACCUUGAUAGCAGGUUAGCCAACCCCCACGUAACUGUCUAUAUUAGACACCCCCAGCCACCUUCUGGCUGCCUGUCUUUGCUGCCAUGUUCUUUUUUACAAGAAGGAAACAAACAAUUUCUUGCUAUUUUUUUUUCAUAAUUUACUAUUUAUGAUGUAUUUAAGUGUUUUAUUCAGGACAGGGUUCUGUAAGGGGUGGGAGGGAGUAUUUGAGGGAGGGCUGGGACUUAGGGAAAGGACAUGGGAUUCAACAUUUUUAUGGAGUGUUACUAUUUGCCUCUACUUUGUAUUGUUGAAAAAUGACAGAUGCAAUAUAAAAGUAAUAAAUAUCUGGUUUUAAUGUAUUAAA
Molecule: RNA transcript, 3889 nt
Organism: Mus musculus (house mouse)
Lineage: Eukaryota; Metazoa; Chordata; Mammalia; Rodentia; Muridae
Gene: Pip5k1a
Gene name: phosphatidylinositol-4-phosphate 5-kinase, type 1 alpha
Exons: 16
Source: RefSeq, marked validated